GCCCGGGUGGCUCAGUCAGUUGAGCAUCUGACUUCCACUCAGGUCAUAAUCUCAUGGUUUGUGAGUUCAAGCCCCAUGUCGGGCU
This is a transfer RNA of Felis catus (domestic cat), 85 nucleotides long. It matches the Rfam family "tRNA". Rfam says of the family: Transfer RNA (tRNA) molecules are approximately 80 nucleotides in length. Their secondary structure includes four short double-helical elements and three loops (D, anti-codon, and T loops). The record is from Rfam. Lineage: Eukaryota; Metazoa; Chordata; Mammalia; Carnivora; Felidae.